Molecule: unclassified non-coding RNA, 832 nt
Filed under: Hevea brasiliensis (rubber tree)
Lineage: Eukaryota; Viridiplantae; Streptophyta; Magnoliopsida; Malpighiales; Euphorbiaceae
Source: RNAcentral
AAUUGGGGAAAAAUAUGUGUGGUAAGUUUCAAUCCCUCUAAUUUGACUAUGUGAAACCCAAUGAAAAUCAUUUAACAGAAUAUGACUGAUAUUUUAACUUGAAAUUGUUACUGAAAUUCUGUGAGAAUUAGAUUUCACCUGUUGAUGUUUUCUAAUACCGAGGGUAUAGUAAAUGAGUGACACGUGGAUAGUGUCAGGGUAGAUAUAUGUGUUUAUGGGAAUAUGGGUAAGUAUUUGGGAGAAAACAUGCUGUCUGAGUGAUAAAGAUUUGUGCUCGACCGAGUUAGAUUGGUGGGAAGAGAUCAGUAUGUACUCCUACAAGACAGCAAAGGGUUAAAGGACCAAAGGGAAGCUAUUCCCUAGUGGCACUCCGAUGAUUAAGCAAGUAAAAGUUGAAAGAAAGAAAGAGAUUAGACAGCAAAGAGAAUAAUAAGCUAGGUAUGAGUUCGAAUGUUUUACAUGAUAACCAUAAAACUUUAUAGUUUAUAUACUGGUGAUUGGAUCGACGAUGGAGUGCCAAAUGUUAGCAGGGGAUCUAGGCUAUGUAUUGCUAUUUAGUUUUAGAGGCGUGAAAUGCAUUGUUUGUCUAUUGUGUCAGGUUGUUGCCAUCAUUAUAAUGACGGUUAUAUUGUCAGUGAUGGUGACAUUGGCUGUGCUUUGCAGUACUUCUAGUGUGGCUCAUUAAUGCUCUAGUUUUCACUCUUUAAUUUUCCCGUUCGGUCCUUCUCCGAAUGGUACCUUGAAGGAUCAAUCUUUGUAAUAUUCGAGUGGUCUUUCGGAAGGGUCCCAUGACCAAUCGGUAAGAGGAUAUCCAAUUGUUGGAAUGAUUGGA